Molecule: long non-coding RNA, 11626 nt
Filed under: Phaseolus vulgaris (common bean)
Lineage: Eukaryota; Viridiplantae; Streptophyta; Magnoliopsida; Fabales; Fabaceae
Description: long non-coding RNA (PVUL_LNC001212)
Source: RNAcentral
AAAGUUAAGAAAAAAUGUAAUUAUAUUUAAAUUUUCAUACAUAAUAUACUAAUAAUAUAAAAGUUCAGAUUAGAUUAGUUAAAGUUGAAGAAAUAUGCGAGUCACAUAUUAUAUCUCAUGAAUAAACCAAUUAACAUAAAUUAAUUCGAAACAAAUUUUAUAAAUUAACAUAUCACAUGAGUGUUAACUUAAAAAUGUAAUAAACUAUUUAUUAUAUUAUAUACUUUCCCGCUAAGUGAGUUGGCGCCCAAAAUCCUCUCUUAUAUAUAAAGACAGUAACAGUAAACGCAACAUAACUAAAUUUCUAAUUUUCUCUCCCUUCAAUGGCUUCCGAGAAACUCACCGAUUACGAGCUCAAGCGACUCACAACUCUCCAAUUUCAAGCGUCAAAGGUACUCUUCUCUCUUCUGUAACUUACCAUCUUUGGCUUGAACUUGAACUUGGUUCUUGCAAACUUGUGACUACAAUUUCAUGAGUCCUGGCUUUGCUAUUCAUAUUCUGAGGGUUUAUUUUUGUCUUUUCUGUUUUAAAGUGUUUUUCUUGAUUUGAUUUGCGUGGUUCAGAUUGAGAAUAAAUGAGAUACCGAUUUUAUUGUUCUCCUCUUGUGUUACAUCAACCAUUUUAUUGACUUGAUCACCUAACAGUAAGGAUUGAGUUUCUCGGUAACUUACCAUCUUUUUGGAAAUCUCCAGAGUUGAAACCAAAUCCUACAGCGUGAAACUGAAACCCCGAUUGAAAUAUUACAUUCGCCGGAACGAUGAGGUGAUGGCAGCGCUCAAACCCCGAUUGAUUUUUUUUUUGUCAGGUGUUGCAUAGCAUUGAGCCUGGUAUGACUUUCUCUUUGGCUUUUCAUUCUUGAAUUUAUGAAUUCAUCUUCUCUAGUUUCUAUAGCUUCUAUUAAGAGCGCCUGGUAGGACUUUCUCUAUUGGCUUUUCUUUCUUGAAUUUAUGAAUUCAUCUUGUCUAGUUUCUAUAACUUCUAUUAGGAGGGUCAGUGAUUUUCUUUAAUUCUUGGACUUUACAGCUAACACAACCAAUGACUCAUUUGAAGGUAUUUGAGUAAUUUUGGACUUUGUCACCAACCAUAUGGGUUGAACUGUGAACUGGUUUCUAUACUGUAAUAUUUGGAAGUGUUUCUUGUAAUCUUCCCGUGCUGUGUCGAGCCUAGAGCGGCUCCCUUGGUUUUGAAAUUUUGAAUUUACCUUAACCUUUCUAUACUAUGUCAUGUCAUCUCUUUAAAAGAGGUUGGUUUUCUCGAAUCACCAUGAUUCUUGUUCAGCUUUUAUUGGAAGGCAAUAUAUAUGUGGGCAGGUAUCAGAAACAGUGAAUGGCGGUCCAAUGAAACUUUAGGUUUUAUUAUCUUUGUGAAGUUUUGGGAUUGGAUUAAUAUUAUUGUUGGGUUGUUAAGAUUUAAUUAGUUAGGAUUUUAUUAGGAUUUUAUCAUUUAUUUAAUUAGUUAGGAUUUUAUUAGGAUUUUAUAAAUUAGUUAGGAUUUUAUAAUCUUUAGUACUCUAUAAAUAGAGUAUUGAACUAUUAUUUGAGAUAUCUAUAACUUUGUUUCCUUUCCCCAAUUCUCUAUCAUUGUUCUGGUUCUUGGUAUAAUCGGAAGCCACCUAAAGGUUCCCUUUGUCCAAAGCCUAAUCGUUCUUCGAAAUCUCUUACGAGAGGACCUAGACACUUCUACACACGAUCGUUCAUAUUAAUUGGUAUCAGCUAGGACCUUCCAGUACUUCAAUGGCAGAUUCAACACGCUUCGUUCAAGUUACUAAAGAGAUGGAAGAUCGACUCUCCCAAAUGAUGGAUAAUAGGUUGAUGGAACUCGCGACUUGUGUCUUUGCUCAAGCUACUAAAGAGAUGGAAGAUUGACUCUCCCAAAGGAUGGAUAAUAGGUUUGUCAAGGUUUCCUUCAACGUAGUCGAGUUCCAUAAACCUAUUAUCCAUCCUUUGGGAGAGUCGAUCUUCCAUCUCUUUAGUAGCUUGAGCGAAGCGUGUUGAAUCUGCCAUUCGUGUGUAGAAGCGUCUAGGUCCUCUCGUAAGAGAUUUCGAAGAACGAUUAGGCUUUGGACAAAGGGAACCUUUAGGUGGCUUCCGAUUAUACCAAGAACCAUAACAAUGAUAGAGAAUUGGGGAAAGGAAACAAAGUGCAUAUAUUAUUAAUAUCUCAAAUAAUAGUUCAAUACUCUAUUUAUAGCGUACUAAAGAUUAUAAAAUCCUAACUAAUUAGAUAAAUGAUAAAAUCCUAACUAAUUAAAUAAAUGAUAAAAUCCUAACUAAUUAAAUCUUAACAAUCCAACAAUAAUAUUAAUCAAAUCCCAAAACUUUAGGAUAUAACACUUUGCGGUUAUUCUCUUGUAGACAUGCACUAUAUGACUAUGAGAGGCUUUGACAUUUGUGUUUGUGUCUUCGACUUUGAUUAUCUUCUUCUACGUGUUGCAGUGACUUUCUACAUGUUGCACUGACUUACUAUGGAUGUCUAUUGGAUUGUGGAGGCAAUUGCGGUAGAUUAUUGGACUUACUGUGAAGCUUUAGGUUUUAUUAUGUUUCCAUUCACUAUCUUAUGUGCUUGAUUUGAAAUGGCUGUAUUCUCUCUUAUUGGUUGAAUAGUAGGAAGCUACACGUGUCAGUCACUGUGUGUCUAAGCUAGGGUGAUUCUUACUUAUGCUUAUCCUUGAUCUCGUGAUCCCAACUAUCUUCCAAAAUGAAUAUGUUCUCCAUAAUGACAAUAAUAUUUAGUUAUAUUUCCAAUAUGAGAAUGAAAAACUAUCUCUCAAGCUAUGAGAGACCUAUUCCAAAAGGAAAGCUCCAAGAGCUCUAUUUACUUCUUUCGGGUUGGGGUCUCAGUAUUUCUGAUAGGAUAUCGAACCAAACUGUAUCUUAUUUCUAACUAUAUUUCUCAAUCUUAGUCGUUUGCUGAUUUUGGUCUUUAUUAUUUAAUGUUUUUGGACUUGAUCACCUAACAUGUGGGCUGAACUGUUGUUUAUCUACAAUAGUAUUUCAAAGUGUUUUUGUAAUCUUCUUCGUGCUCUUGGUUUUGAAUUUGUGGCUUCCCUUGAUAUUUUAGAUUUUGUGAAUUUAUCUUAUUGUUUCUUUACUUUGUCAUGUCAUCUUUUUAAGAAGAUUAGUUUUCUCAAAUCGCCAUGAGUCUUCUUGAGCUUUGUCACGAGUCUUAUUGAACUUUGCCACGAGAAAUUCUUGAGCUUUGCCACGAGUAUUCUUGACCUUUUACAUGAAGGAUGUAGGGGUCAGGUUUUGGAAAUAGUGGAUGGAGAUACAGUUAAACUUUAGGCUUUAUUAUCUUUGCAUUCAUUAUUUUCUUUGCUGUUAUUCUUUUUGCUACUCUUGUGGAGUCGGAGUUUUUGUAAUUCGGCAUUUGACUUUGAUGAUUUGAUUAUCUUUUACUUGUGUUGUAGUGAUCUUUGAGCUUUGCCAUGAGUCUUCUUGACCUUUGCCACGAGUUUUCUUGAGCUUUGCCAUAUAAGACUUCUUGAGCUUUGCCAUGAGUCUUCUUGAGCUUUGCCAUCAUAAGUCUUCUUGAGCUUUGCCAUGAGACUUAUUGAGCUUUGCCAUGAGUCUUCGUGAGCUUCCAUGAGUCUGCUUGAGCUUUGCCAUGAGUCUUCUUGUGCUUUGCCAUGAGUCUUCUUGUGCUUUUCCAUGAGUCUUCGUGAGCUUUGCCAUGAGUCUUCUUGUGAUUUGCCAUGAGUCUUCUUAUGCUUUGCCAUAAGUCUUCUUGAGCUUUGCCAUGAAUCUUCUUGAGCUUUUACAUGAAGGAUGUAGGGUUCUGGUUUUGGAAACAGCGGAUGGAGUUACAGUUAAAGUUUAGGUUUUAUUAUCUUUGCAUUCAUUAUGCUGAUAAAAAAAUCUUUGCAUUCAUUAUUUUCUUUGUUGUUAUUCUUUUUGCUACUCUUGUGGAGUGGGAGUUCUUGUAAUUGGGCCUUUGACUUUGAUGAUUUGAUUAUAUUCUACUUGUGUUGUAGUGAACUUUGAGCUUUGCCAUGAGUCUUCUUGAGCUUUUCCAUGAGACUUGUUGAGCUUUGCCAUGAGACUUGUUGAGCUUUGCCAUGAAGGAUGUAGGGGUCAGGUUUUGGAAGCAACGGAUGGAGAUACAGUUAAAGUUUAGGUUUUAUUAUCUCUGCAUUUAUUAUGCUGAUAAAAAAAUUCUUUGCAUUCAUUAUUUUCUUUGCUGUUAUUCUUUUUGUUACUCUUGUGGAGUGGGAGUUAUUGUAAUUGUGCCUUUGACUUUGAUGAUCUGAUUGUCUUUUUCUACUUGUGUUGCAAUGAACACUUACCAUGGAUGUUUGUUGGACAUAUUUUGAAGCUUCAGGUUUUAUUAUUUUUCUACUCACUAUUUUUCUUAUGCGCUCGAUAUGGAAUGUCUACAGUUUUUCUUAUUGGCUAGAUAGUUGGAAGGUAUUGUAUGUAUCUAAGCAAGAACGAUAGUCUAGGUCCUCCAUCAUCUACCCUUAUUGAUUAUAGUUUUCUUGAAUUCAUUGGCCUUACAGGAAAGCUAAGCAAUGAAGUGUGGUGUAGGAUGUAAAAAUGGUGGGUGGAAAUUCUUUGAUCAGUGAAGCUAAAUGUUUUUUUCACCAGGACAUUGUUGUGUUCAUCUGAAUUAAGUUUUAACUGGCUCAACUUGUGGGUUUGAUUAUAAUCUUGGUUGUAACUUGUUGGUUUGAUUAUAAUCUUGGUUGUAUUUUGAUAAUGUAUGGUUCUAAGAGGAAUUGUGGGAUGAGCAUGAGACAAGUGCGGCUGGGCUUUAAUGUUUGAUUUGAUGGUUUGCUUCUUGGUUUGAGAAGUUCUACUAUUUAAUUUUGUUGACUUCUCUGCAUAAUUCUAUAAUAUAGGUCUUUUGUUCUAUAUAGGUCUUUGGUUCUUUUAAUAGUUUUCCAAAACCUUUCGAUUCAUUAUUCUUGAUCCCAAACAUAUGGGUUGAGUUGUGAACUUCUUUGGAAUUUUUUCAUGUAACUCUUACGCUGAAAUUUUUGAAAUUAGUAUAAGAAUGAUCCUGAAAUUGAAAUUGUUUAAAUGCUUCACUUUUGCGUCAACAAUCUCCAUAUGUGUUUGUCGUUCCUCGAUUUUUGAAAUUUGCAUUUUUUUGUUUGCAACACAUUGAGUCUUUAUCUGAGGUUUCUCUUUCAGUUUAUUAACUCAACCAGUGAUGGAAUAUAGUGGGACGACUAACCUGUCUAAUCAACCAGUUACAGAUUUUUUUUUUUUCCUUUAUUGUUUAUUGAGUUGAGUGUUUUCAAAAUAUUUUUGUAACCACUUGGGAUUGAAAGUGCAACGUUAUGCCUGGCAUUAGAUAAUUGGACUUCUUUUAUUAGUUAUCCAAACCGUUCAUUUUUUUCAUAUUUGUUCUAUUUGGACAGGAAUUGUAUGCGAGAAAGAUAAUGGAUUUUUGGAGGUGAAUUUGUUUCAUAUUUGUUCUAUUUGGACAGGAAUUGUAUGCGAGAAAGAUAAUGGAGUUUUGGAGGUGAAUUUGUUUCAUAUUUGUUCUAUUUGGACAGGAAUUGUAUGCGAGAAAGAUAAUGAAGUUUUGGAGGUGAAUUUGUUAAUUUCAGUAACGACUCUGGAGGAUUUGUAUUUUGGAGGUGAAUUUGUUAAUUCCAGUCAAAACGACGAAGAACUCUUGAUAAAGUAAUUUUCUUUGUUAUUCUAUUUCUCUACCCAAUCCCGGUGUUGCAUUAAUCCCUUUUCAGCAUACAGAACUGUGACCGAUAAGUCUGUAUGCAACGACGUUUUUGGAAAUUUUGUGUCUCAAACUUAUUAUUAGGACUUAUUACCUUGGUUUUAUCUGAUCAUUCUGGACUUGCUAUCUUCUUCUGUGGGUUUUGGUUUGGUUUCAAUUUUCCGUAUUGUCUCAUAAGUUUGUAGUAUUGGAUUUUUUUGUUUGCAUAUCAGAAACUGAACCAAUCUCAAGGCAUUAAGUUUCUAUAGUUGGAGUUGUAUGAAAUUUAGAUAGUCUCUUUAAUAUUGCAUGGUAGGUUUUUUAUACGAUGUACAAGUAUAUCCAGUUUUAUUUGGAUAUUUUUUAGCAACAAGCUUUUGGAAUAGGAUUGUGUGAGUGCUACCAUUGGAAAGUUCAACUUGAAACGACAACAACUCACAAUAGCCUAAUUUCUUCUAUAUGAGGUUUCACCUUUUACUUAACUUCUAAGGACUUGAUCACCAACAAUAGGAUUGAAUUGUGAUUUGUUUUUCUACUGUGGUUUAUGAUUGGAUUCACACAAUGUCUGGAUCUCAUCGAGCUUUUAAUGAGUUUGUUUCUUAGUUUAAGAAAUUGUCGAAUAUUUUUUUAAAUUCCUCCCCUGGAACAAGUGUUUUUGUUUUCUUGAAUUUUUGCUCUUUAAAGGUAAGACAAGCAAUGGAUGUGUGAGGACAUGUAGAAACAUAGGGAUCAAUUGAAGCUUUAGUUUGUGUUAAUUCGUGACUGGUUAUUUGAGUGCAGUCUUUUAUUUGGUGACAGAGAUGUAUCAAAAUAAAAAAAAUGGUUUAGGAUUUCCUCUCUAUUUGAUAUUUUCAGAUUUGAUCACCAAAUAUAAGGAUUUUCCGUGGUCAUUUGUUUCUCUGCAGUGAUGUUUGCAUUAUGUUUCAUGCUACGUCUAAUGUAUCAUGUUGUCUGGAAGUUUUUAUGGCUCUUGGUAACAGGCUUUACAAGAGUUUCAGAGGAUCAGGUGAUACCUAUUAUCAUAAUUGUGUCUUGCAGUGUGAAUUGUUCAAGUUUAUUCAUUUGCAAAAGGGAUCAGUUAUUCAUUCAUUUUUGCAGAAGAUUAGAUGGCUAACAUUAUUGUCUGUUCAUUUGAUCCAGUAAGAGCCCAUUCUAGAAAUGUGGAUUUCUCUUUUUUGUUGAUUUUUAGAUUUGGAAUUGUUCAAGUACCAACAGCAUGAUUUCAUGGUCUCUUAUGAUUUCCUCUGAAUUCUUGGUUGUUGUUUUGACAGGAUAGGGUUUGGGUAGACUUUGGGUUUUUGGAUUAGGAAUUGUCCAACGACCAACCAUGUGUAAAAGUUUGAAAUAUAUGAUGUGUUUGUGAGAUAUUUUCUAGGGAUAUAUAUAUAUAUAUAUAUAUAUAUAUAUUUAGUUGCUAGUUUUAUUUUUGAUUGAAUUACAUAAAUGCUUUAUUAAUAUGAUCAUUUGAUUAUAGCAGAGUUGUAGUGUUUUUUAUAAAAUUAUUCUUGGUAGUUAUCUAAUUAUUCAUGGUUGUUAUAUUAACUUUAAUAGUUAUUGUUUUUGGAAAAAUAAUCUAGAACUCUUUUGUUGGCUAAUGAUUCUCUAACAUUUUUUUUUAAUUUUAUAGUAGUUGUAUUUUUCUUUGACAAUUUAGUUUAGGUUUUUUUACCGUGUCUGAUUGUUAAUUAAAUAUUUAUUUUCAUUAGAAUGUUGAUGAUGUGAAUGAUUUCUUUUAAUGUUGAUUGUGAUUCUAUUUUAUAAAAUAUUGUGUUAUGGUAAUCAUUAAUUAAUUGCUUUGUAUGCACUCAUUAUCAUAUUGUUGUAUGACAAAUCUUAAAGCUGUCUAAGAGAGGUUCCUGGGUUGCUCGGUGGAAAGUUCUAAAACUCGCUCAAUAUAGUAAAUUAUGGAUCAUGUGCUUUUACGCAAGAAUUAUUAGUAAAUUCAUGUACAUGAAUUCAGAGUAUAAUUCUCUAGUUGAUGACUAAGAGUUUUUAACCUUUCGCUUAAAUUUCUUUGCACCUUUUAAGCUUAUGGCCGGUUCACUGAUAUUUCUUUUGCCUAUGGAUGAUAUGAAAACCCCAACAGCCAAGAGCUAAGAAUAACGGAAGUCUUUUGAGUUUCCCUUUUAUUUUAUUUUUUUCUGGUAUUGAUGACCGAACAUAAGGAUUGAACUAUGAUGUGUUUAUCUGUAGUGGUGUUUGGAUUAGUUGAGUAUAUUAGCCUUAUCAAGUUUCUAUACUUCCUCUUAGCAAGAGCGGUUAUUGUUUCCUUCAAUUUUUUGACUGUACAGGGUUUAUCGUUUCCUUCAAUAAAAUUUGGUAUUUGUGUUCAUUCCUUUUCAGCAAGUCAUGAGUCUCUGAGAUCUCUUUUGGCAGUUGAGGAACAAGAAAGGUUAUAGAUCAGGAUAUUCUAAUUUCUCUAUACUUGAUCACCGAACAUUGAAUAGUGAUUUGUUCUUAUGCAAUAAACAUAAGGAUUUAAUUUUGAUUUGUUUCUCUACAGCAAUGUUUGGAUUUUUUCGUGUAAUGUCCUGCAUCUCAUGGAGUAUGUUAUGCGGCAUAAUAGUUGAAUUGUAAUUUGCUUCUCUGCAGUGUGAAAAUCGCUUACCGUACUGCAUCUCAUGGGGUAUGUUAUGAGUGACCGAGUCUCCCUUAAUAUUUUAAUUUAUCUAAUAGUCCUUUAUUACCUGUUAUAAUUUUGUUGAAUUAUUGUUCUUUACAGGGAUGUGUGGUAAUUAGCAAGAGCUCGGGACUAUUUGGUUUCAAUUCUUUUAUAACAAAACUUUAUUUUCUCUGCUGCUAUUAUGCACGGGUAAACUUGUGGAUUGGGAAUGCUUACCUCUUUAUGACAGGUGUAAACGUCUGUGUCAGCCAUUUAAUUUUCUCUUUCUAGUCCACACUCAGACAUUUCUUUCAGCAACUGAGUUAUUUAAUCGCAAAGAGUGUUUUGUUUCCUUUCAUAUUCUUUGUUGUCAAAACAACCUUUGUUUCUUUCUUAUCAGCUAUAGUAUUUAGUUUCACUGCGAUCUCGGGAUGUGUUAUUUGGCAGUGAUGUGGUUAUUUAUUCGAGGAUUGAUGUGUUAUUUGUAAGUGAGGUGGUUAUUCAUUCGAGGAUUGAGUUCCAUUCCCUUUGCCUUGCAUUGUUUGUGUUCAUUGCUAUCAAACAACUUUCUUCCUUUUAAAUGUAUGGAGUCUAUUUUUUUAAGAUGAAAUCCCCACUAAAUGUUAAUGUUUUAUUUUUUUCUUUCUUUUUCAUCAUGUCCUAGUUAUUUGCGUUUCUCAUAGGCUUGGUCUCAUCCCUUCGACUUGCAUUUGUUCGUGUUCAUUGCUAUUAAACAACUUUCUUUUUUUAAUGUAUGGAGCCUUUUUUGCUAUGUCUAGAUGUUGAUUUGCUUGUUUUCAUUCCGUUUUAGGUGUUGAUUUGUUUGCGUUCAUUCCUUUUUAGGUGUUGAUUUGUUUGUGUUCAUUCCUUUUUAGCAUGUGGAGACCUCAAGAAUGGUUAAGGAUUAAAAUCUGGAAGUGUUAAGAACGACCAAUAAUUCAGGAUAACCUAAUUUCAUGAGUUUCCUUUCUAUUUGUCUUUAACUGGGACUGGCUAUUUGAAUUUCUCUAGUUUUUGAAUUCCUUCAAUUCAUUAAUUCAUCUUAUGCUUUCUUAAAUUCUUGGUCUUUAUUACCAAUAUCUAUUUUGAAUUUAAAUAUAGUUCUUAAAUUUUUUAUGUCUAGGUGUGGAUUCGUUUGUGUUCAUUCCUUUUUAGCCUGUAAGACUGGUUGAGGAUUAAAAUCUGCUAGUGGACACGAAAAACAAUCCACGGAUGUGAGGUAGGAUAUCUAAAUACUGGAAGGAGAUGCUUGAUUCUGUAGGUUAUCCAUACUCUUUGAUGACAGAUGCCUACUUGAGUUUGGAUGUAGUUAUUUAUUUGAUGACAGAGAUCUAUCAUAUGUAACUUUUUGUUAGUUCCUUUUCAACAGGGGAUUCUGGUUGAGGAUUAAAAAACAUAAAUUUGAAUAUUGUUUUUGUCUGAUUAUUGAAAUAUGUCAAAUCUAGCUGUUUGAUAUGUGAAUUUCUUGAUUCUUUUUCAGCAAAUCAUAGGUUAGUAAUAAUAAAGUGCUCAGGGAAGAUGUCUCCCCUUCUUUUUGAAACUUUGUAGAUUGAGCAUAUUUUCCAGACUGAUAUAUGAGGUAGGAUGUGGAAACACUUGCCAGGGGAUGUGUGAAGCUUUAGGUUUUGUUACCCUUACAUUUCUUGUGUCUUUAUUUGUGACUGACUAGACUUCUUGUUUGGAUUCUAAUUUUUGGUUGGAUUCAUUGCUAACCUUGUAGUUUAAGUGGCAGUUCUUGUGGGUUUAGAGGUCGUGUAAUUUGGGGAGGAUUUUUGUCUGGCCGAACUUCUUAAUAUGAAAUACUGAAUUGAUAGUGAAAAAAAGAUAAAGAAAAUAUAUCAUGGCCAUUAAAAGUUUAUGUUUCUCUUCGUGUUCAGCCAUGCCACUUGCCAGUGAACUCUUGCUUCUUUCUCUAUUGUUCCACAUGCAUUUUUUCAUAAUUUUUACUCUUUUUUUUAAGUUGUCCAUCUCUAAGUAAUUUAGGCUUCUCGUAGCUUUUACCAGUCCUGGAUUCAUAGUAAAAUUUGACCCUUUUACAUGGUGCAAUUGAAAUUAAGGAGAGAAUUAUUGAUCUUUAGUUUUAUAGUACUGAAUUAAUUUUGGAUAUGCUUAGGUCUAGCAAAUUUGAAAGGUCAUUUUCUUAGUUUUUACUUCAUUUACUAAAUUAUCAAGAGUAUUGGACAAUUUGAUUUUUUAGUGUUUUGUUUGCUGCAUUGACAAAUGAAUCUUGUAUUCUAUUGUUUUUAAUAGUUUUGGAUUACAUUCUGAAUAUGGCAUAUGAUGAUCUCUUCUAUCUUCCAAAAUGCGAAGGAUCUCCAACAUUAGAGUUGUAUUUAGUUCUAUCUCCAAUGUGAGAAUGAGAAAAUUGAGAGCUCUAUUUAGUUUUAUCUCCAAUUAUCUCUGUAAUAUGAGAAUGAGAAACAACAGUAGUUGGAAUGUUUUCUUGCAAUCUUCCUGUGCUAUGAUUCAGUUCUCUCUCCAUAUACGAGAAUAAGAAAAUGAGAAAGAGAAACAAGAUUAUUUGGAAUGUUUUGUCGUAAUCUUCUUGCACUAUGAUUCGGUUCUCUCCCAAUAUGCGAAUGAGAAAAUGAGAAACAACAGGAAAGUUUUGUCGUAAUCUUCUUGCGCUAUGAUUCGGUUCUGUCCCCAAUAUGCGAAUGAGAAGAUGAGAAACAAUAGCAUAUGAGAGGUCCAUUUAGUUCUAUCUCCAAUAUGAGAAUGAGAAUCAAAUGUACAUGAGAUUUCUAUUUAGUUUGAUCUCUAAUACGAUAAAGAAGAGAAACAAAAGCAUUUGGAUUGUUCUCUUUGUAAUCUUCGUGUGCUAUGAGCAACGCCUCCCCUCGAGGCUAUGGUAACGGGUGAUGCCUCUCUAUUCCAACAUGAGAGCUCUAUAUAUUUCUUUGGGGUGGGGUAUCAAUUUAUGAUACCAUGUGGAAGCAGACACCAUCUUUUUGCCGUCUAUAUUUCUCAGCUCUUGCUGAACUUAGUUUUCUUGAAUUGCCAUGCUUCUUUUUAAACUUUUACAGUAAGGCAAUAGAUAUGUGGGGGCAGGUUUUGGAAACAGUGUAUGGAGAUCUGGUGAAACUUACUGUGAAGCUUUAGGUUUUAUUAUGUUUCCAUUCACUAUCUUAUGUGCUUGAUUUGAAAUGGCUGUAUUCUCUCUUAUUGGUUUAAUAGUAGGAAGCUACACGUGUCAGUCAUUGUGUGUCUAAGCUAGGGCGAUUCUUAAUUAUGCUUAUCCUUGAUCUCAUGAUCCCAACUAUCUUCCAAAAUGAGAAUGUUCUCCAUAAUGACAGUAAUAUUUAGUUAUAUUUCCAAUAUGAGAAUGAAAAACUAUCUCUCAAGGCUACGAGUGACCUA